GAGUUGUCUUUUGACCUAAAUGUCUAUUAAAAAUAAAUGAUAUUAAACUUUGAAAAUACCAUGAAAAUUAAAAUUGUGAUACUUUAUAGAAAAAGUAAAAGAAAUGAGGUCAAAUGUGGAAAUUGUGAAACUUGGGAUUAUUAACUCUUAAAUAAUAGUUAGUGCUCCACUAACUUAUUUUGUAUAACACAUAUGUAAGCCAUCUGGGACAGAUUUCUUCCACUAACUCCAUCUUCAUCUUCUACCUUUUCUCCAAGUCGAACCAAGCUCUCAAAUUGUCAUCCAUGGCCGCCCACCUUUCAAACCUCCAUGCACUCCUCAUUUAGCCAUUGUUUCCACUAGAGCUCUUCAUUAAAGUUGGAGUAUACACCUUGGGCAGCAGUUUGGGAGCAAGAAGGGAGAGAUUUGAAGAGGUUUGACAAGUUCCACUUGAGGUACAUGUCCAUUUCUUCAUCCUUUCUUCAUUAAAGCUUGUGUGGGUGUUGUGGUGAGUUGAUUUAUGGAAGAAAUGUUGAGGUUUGAUGAGUUAUUGAAGUGUACCAUUUUGGGCAGCCAUGGAAGUGAAAGGUAAGUGAUUUGUUCUUAUAUGAAUUUGAUGGGUAAUGAAGUUAAUUAAAGUGCUUAAAUAUAUAAGAGUUUGAUUUUUAUGUAUAUGUGUGAAUUGUGAAUGUAAAGUGAGAUCACAUGUUGAAAUUGGGAAGCUUGAUGUAUAUGAACAAUUUGGGAAGCCUUAUGGUGAAGUUGGAAGUGUUUAAAUUCAUGAAAGGUUUGUUGAAUUAUGGUACUAAAAGUGACAGCAUAUGUGUAUGAUUUAGUAGAGAAUAAAUGAAUAAUUUGAUGAUGGAAGUUAUGUGUAGUAAUUAA
RNAcentral lists this unclassified non-coding RNA (864 nucleotides) under Hevea brasiliensis (rubber tree). Lineage: Eukaryota; Viridiplantae; Streptophyta; Magnoliopsida; Malpighiales; Euphorbiaceae. The record is from RNAcentral.